RNAcentral lists this ribosomal RNA (241 nucleotides) under uncultured bacterium. Its description in RNAcentral is "partial 16S ribosomal RNA". It matches the Rfam family "Bacterial small subunit ribosomal RNA", at positions 100 to 334 of the family's 1533-position model. The record is from RNAcentral.
CGGGACGGGUGAGUAACACGUGGAUAACCUACCUAUAAGACUGGGAUAACUCGGGAAACCGGAGCUAAUACCGGAUAAUAUAUUGAACCGCAUGGUUCAAUAGUGAAAGACGGUUUUGCUGUCACUUAUAGAUGGAUCCGCGCCGCAUUAGCUAGUUGGUAAGGUAACGGCUUACCAAGGCAACGAUGCGUAGCCGACCUGAGAGGGUGAUCGGCCACACUGGAACUGAGACACGGUCCAG